UUUCUGUAUGCUGACUAUAGUAUCCUUUUGGACUGCAGGAUUUGGCACUUAGUGAUGCAGUACUUUACUGGUUUGGCUUCUUUCUCCAAGGCCAUUUGUAGCCAGCGUUAAUAUGGAGUGAGAGGUCCAGUCUACAACUACUCAUUUGAGAGACACUGCCUAUUUCCGUGUGUACUGAGAGCUGCUCCCCUGGUAAUUUCAAAAGAAAGCAGGAGGCAAAGCCAUUUUGCUGCUAUGAUUGUCAUCCAUGUCCCAAAGAGAAAAUAUCAAGCCAGAAGGGUAAGAGGCAUCAUGAACCAAAUUGCAUUACAGCUCUACAGAAAGCUGAGUUAUAUAUUUUGUUUGUUGAGAAAUUAUGCUGUCCUCAGAAGGAAGGAUUCUUUUACCAACUAAACGGAAGACUUAAGGCAAAGAGUUAAGCAUUCAACUAUGGCUCUUGUUUAACAAACAAAGAAAAAGAAGCAAACGAUUAACUGAGUGAUUAAAAUAAUAUUGAAACUCCCAA
Non-coding RNA from Pantherophis guttatus, 505 nucleotides. Lineage: Eukaryota; Metazoa; Chordata; Lepidosauria; Squamata; Colubridae. The record is from RefSeq and is a predicted model, not a curated record.